Molecule: ribosomal RNA, 490 nt
Filed under: uncultured bacterium
Lineage: Bacteria
Description: bacterial SSU rRNA
Rfam family: Bacterial small subunit ribosomal RNA
Source: RNAcentral
AAUGAACGCUGGCGGCGUGCCUAACACAUGCAAGUCGAGCGAGAAAGUUCCUUCGGGAAUGAGUACAGCGGCGGACGGGUGAGUAACACGUGAGUUAUCUGCCCUUUAGUGAAGAAUACUUUCGAGAAAUCGAAUUAAUGCUGCAUACGUCCCUUCGGGGAGAAAGAUGGCUUUAUGCUGUCGCUAGAGGAUGAGCUUGCGGACUAUUAGCUAGUUGGUGGGGUAAUGGCCUACCAAGGCGAUGAUGGUUAGCCGGCCUGAGAGGGUGAACGGCCACAUUGGAACUGAGAUACGGUCCAGACUCCUACGGGAGGCAGCAGUGGGGAAUAUUGCGCAAUGGGCGAAAGCCUGACGCAGCGACGCCGCGUGGAGGAUGAAGGUCUUCGGAUUGUAAACUUCUGUUAAGGGGGACGAAGGAAUGCCGGCGAACAGUCGGCAGACUUGACGGUACCCCCAGAGGAAGCCCCGGCUAACUCUGUGCCAGCAGCCG